AGCAAAAGAGAACAAAUUUUGACAGUUAGAAAAUAGAGAACCUGCAAUUUUCUACUGGGACUUUUUUUACCAGCACAAAUUUGCAGCUUUGAACACAUGUUUUGUAAAAGUCAGCUGUUUUAUGAAAAGCAGACGUUACAUAAAAAUACAAAAUCUAACGCCAAAAUGGAUCAAAAACGCGAAGAUUCAUGGCAGCAAAUGGUGUUCAGACACCAAGAAGAGAGCAAUUAUCGGGUUUUAAGUGUUUGAUGGAAUCAUCCUCAUCGGAAAGCUACAAUGCAACCAACACCAUUCCUUUUAAUUUGUUAAGGGGGGAAGAUGCUGCCAUGCUGCCACCCUUAGCCUCACAUUAGUGGUCGUAGCAAUUUAUUUAGACACAAUAUCCAAAGUAUUAGAUGGUUAGUCCAAGGUAUCUUUGUCAGCACAACAAAUAUACUUUUGUAUAUCGUGAUGGCAUGUAAAGCUGUUGUAGUCAUAUGCAGCCUUCGAAAUGCAUGCGGAUGCUCGGCGAAUGGAAAAUGUCCAACGAGAGGAGCGGGAGGAGUAGCCCCUCAUGCGUCUUGGCUACUGAUGAGAGAUGGGAGAUUGGUCUGUACGACUCGCCCUUGCUCGUGUCCUUUUUAGGUUUCAGUAGCGGGAUUAGACUGCCCAUCUUCCAAACAUCGGGUACUAUAAUAGUGUUGAGAUAGGCUGAAGACAGUUGUAAUGUAAUCGACUCCAGUCAGAUCCAGAUUCUUUAGCAUCAGUUUAGACAUUCUGUCUGGAACUUGCGCCUUGCGCGACUUGGCGCCACAGAUGACAUUCGUAGCUUCGAGCACUGUUGUUGUAGCAGUGUGUUUUACACUGAAGGACUACAUCGGGCCAAUGCGGUACGUAAAACCGGCUGCCAUGGGAUUGCACGGUAAUUUGUGAUGGUUGUCCAGCUGCACGGAGAUCACGGAUAUACGAAUGGCUCCCCUUCCAGCCUUUUCACUCUCGGGUGAAUAAAUUGAUGUUUAUUUAAGGAAAAUACCUCAAAGUAUCGCCAGCAUUUUUUUUAAAUUGUUUUCCGAGCAAGCAAAUAAAAACCAACCAAAACAAAAAUUAGCUGUUUUUAUGCAAA
Stomoxys calcitrans (stable fly) is the source of this 1102-nucleotide long non-coding RNA. RefSeq lists it as uncharacterized. The record is from RefSeq and is a predicted model, not a curated record. Lineage: Eukaryota; Metazoa; Arthropoda; Insecta; Diptera; Muscidae. The transcript is spliced from 3 exons.